GACCGCGUAGCUCAGUUUGCAGAGCAUUGGGCUAGUAUUCCAAAGGUCGUAGGUUCGAUUCCCACCGUGGCCG
This is a non-coding RNA of Paramuricea clavata, 73 nucleotides long. The record is from the annotation of a GenBank genome assembly. Lineage: Eukaryota; Metazoa; Cnidaria; Anthozoa; Malacalcyonacea; Plexauridae.